UCACUGGGGCAAGUGGAAGGGGUACACACGGCAAGUAGACAAGAAACUCCUGCUGCUCUGACAGUGGAGUGAGAAAGAGAAAAGAUUAGGGAAGGGAAAAGAGAGUGACAGAAGAGCAUACUGUAUCUAUUUUUCCUUAGGAGAAAAAGCAAGAUCCUAUGUGAAGAAAAGCAGCAGAGGGAAAAAGAGGGAAGAGUUUGAGCAAUGAUUUACAGGGGCAACUGGGAUUUAAUCUGGGGAUUCAAUUAAGUUGGAGAAUACAGCUGUUUUCUAAAAAGAUGGCAGGACUGAAAGUAAAAAAGGCUUUGUAAUGAAAAAGACUGUCUUGGUCUCAGGAUAUUCACCAGAGAUACUCCACAGUAUGAGAGCAGAAGCAAAUAUCUGGGAGUUCACAAAGCAGGCUCUGCAAUGGAAGUGUUUAAUUCUAAGUAUGUGCUUAAAUCUUUGCUGAAUCAAGGCCAGACAUUUUAGUAGCUUAACUACAUCUUUAGCAUGCAGUCAAAGAACGGAGCCCAUGCAACCAGAGGUGGAAAGAAGGACCUGCAAUAAGUGAAGGUAUCUAUACAGCUGCUUUAGGAACACACAGCUUGUUUCAGCAAGAGUUCCAGAGCCAGAUCCACAGCUGCUACCACAGCUGGAAGCACGGAGCCUCCUGAGAAGCCAGUUGCAGACUCAGAUGCUGCUGUUUCCUGUUUAUUAUUAUAGUGUACAAAAAAUGGGUAAAAUUUGCUAUAAAGUUAUUCCUAAGGAAAAUGUCUCCUCUUACAUAGUGCAAUCAUCCAGUAUGACAGAGUUAGCACAACAGCUCCAACAUCCUUUUCUUAACCUGUCCCCAGUAGAGAGAAAUGUAUCAAGUCCCCACAUCCCAGCAGUCUCCGGCUUCUCAGACUUCUCCAGGGGACUGUGACCAGCUGGCUUAAAACUGUGCAACCCUGUACAUUUGUUCAACAUUCACAUACUAAAAUGUGUUGCUUCCAAGUCUAUUAAAUGUUCAUCUACAUUUUCUAGUUCCCAUAAUCAAAAAAAAUAGGCUCACUUAUAGUGACAUGAAGGUGUUAAAUUGGUUUUACUAUCUAAAGAAGUGAUAAUGGUACAAAUUACCCUAUUAUCAAUAUAACUGUGACUAUGCUAAACUACACAGUGUAGCCUAAAAAUGGGGGUGUAAAGCAAUGUGAAAAAAAUGUGUACUCCAGCCCUAAGUAUUCCAGAAUAACAGAAGAUAUGAUUUCAAAGUUUCUGUCUGUAUUUGUAAAACAUACACAGCUUUAAGCUGUAUUGAUUUAUGCAAACUGAAUUGUUGGAGUUUAUCUCAUGGUACUUCUAAUUAGGUGUAUAAAACACAGUACUGAAAGGCCAUCCAAAUAUCUUGCAUUGAGGUAUUUAUGAUGAACUGUAAUAAAAGAAAAAAAGACUAUAUAUAUGAACUAUAUAAAUGAACUGAACUAUAAAGAUCAGAUUGUCUUGAUAAUCAGAAGUUUCAGAUAAUUGGGAUAUUUCUUUAUAAAUAAAACAUACUUCAUUUUUAGUUUCCAGAAUUACUUGUUAUAAAGUAUAUUAAACAAAACUGAUGUGUGCUUCCACAUUUUUUUUCCAAAUAUCACUAGCACAAGAUAAAAAUAACUAAAAUCAAUUCUUUCUCUUUAAGUUUCCAUUAUUUUGUGUCUUACCUUGUGUAUUAACAUCAAAGUAAAACUAUUUCCUAUAAUGAACAAGGAAUUAUAUAUGUUGCACCCUGUAACCUUUAUUUUAACAUACUAUAAAAGGUAAUAGUAAUAUUGCAUGCAAUUGUUUGUUUGGUAUCUAUUUGUCAUAGCAAAAAAUAUUGCUAUAUUUCAAGUGUAUCAACCAGUAUUUGGAUGCUAUACAAACACAGAUGUAAGCCAGAUAUUGAUACAUAUCAAUAUGCUUUUAUGUAUUGUGAACUUCACCAUACUGCUCAUUCUUAAAAGGCAUAGGACUAUAAACACAGGAGUUACACACACCAGUUUAGAAUUAACGUAUGAUUACAUACGCUUUAAUUUAUGAAGCAGCAGCUUUGUAAGGAAAUGCUUCUAGAGUUAUUUUACAGCAAACAUUUACAUCUGUUUUCCUUACACUGAACCUCUAAACAUUUGCAUACACAUUCACAUUUGUACAUGUAUAUAGUCCAAGUGGCCUCAAAAGGGCUUUUCACAUGAAAAUUUUUCAGGGCUAAGACAUAAAUACAGCUUUUAAUUGCUGGCCAUGGAGAAGUGUUUUUUAGUAGAGAAGAAAAAAUUACCACCUUUCAGCUCUUAUAUUCCCAGUUAAGGUUUAUUAGGACUAAGACAGUCCUAUACAGAACUGAAUGUUUCAGAGGGAGGUAGUCUGACUUUAUUUCACUGUCACAGAACACGAAGUAAGUAGUGAAGUACCAUUUGUGGAGAAGGGGGAAAUGAAAUCCUUAUUUCCUUACUGUUCUAUUGUACUAAGUGCAAUUUACUUCUGUCUCUUUUUAAAUCUGGGAGUACAUUAACUUGAAAGAAUCUAGCUUAAUCAGAAUUUACCUAACACUUUCUUCAUAUGUACAUUAAAAAUACAUUUAAACUAAAACAGAAUCUAAGUGACUACUUGCCAUUACCAUUUGCCACAGUUUUUCUAUCCAUCCUAGCCAUUACGCUUCAUUUUUAAUCACUGAAAAAGAUGUGAUAUUUUUAAUGGUACCUGAAUUAUGCAUUAAAAGAUGCAAUUCUAAAACCAGGAGUAUUUUGUGUCAUUUCACAUGCAAAAUAUGAAUAGUAGUAAUUAGCUGACCACUGAGUUCAUAACUGAUUUGGCUUAGUGUCUUCCAGAACAUGUCCCAGAUGUUAUUGUAAAGUUUUUAUGCAUGUACAAAAAAAUAAAAAUAAAAACCCCUUCAUGACGCUAACAAAUAGUCUGACUUCUAAGACCAUACACAAGAUUUCAAUUCUUCAUAAAUAUUUGAACAAAUUUAGUAAACAUUUAGAAAACUGUGUACUGUGCUACAGACUUUAAAUGUGACAGCCGACAACAUAAAUUUUCUGGAUGAUGAUCGAGUCAAUGUUAGUGCAGCUGUAGCAACAGUAAGACAUGCAAAAGCUUGAAG
Molecule: non-coding RNA, 3085 nt
Organism: Phalacrocorax carbo (great cormorant)
Lineage: Eukaryota; Metazoa; Chordata; Aves; Suliformes; Phalacrocoracidae
Source: RefSeq, a predicted model, not a curated record